This 395-nucleotide ribosomal RNA is filed under the name uncultured bacterium. Its description in RNAcentral is "bacterial SSU rRNA". It matches the Rfam family "Bacterial small subunit ribosomal RNA", at positions 28 to 429 of the family's 1533-position model. The record is from RNAcentral.
AUUGAACGCUGGCGGCGUGCUUAACACAUGCAAGUCGAGCGGUAAGGCCCCUUCAGGGUACGACGAGCGGCGAACGGGUGAGUAACACGUGGGUGACCUGCCCUCAGCUCUGGGAUAAGCCUGGGAAACUGGGUCUAAUACCGGAUAUGACUCCAUGACGCAUGUCGUGGGGUGGAAAGCCUUGUGCGGCUGGGGAUGGGCCCGCGGCCUAUCAGCUUGUUGGUGGGGGAUGGCCUACCAAGGCGACGACGGGUAGCCGGCCUGAGAGGGCGACCGGCCACACUGGGACUGAGACACGGCCCAGACUCCUACGGGAGGCAGCAGUGGGGAAUCUUGCGCAAUGGGCGAAAGCCUGACGCAGCGACGCCGCGUGAGGGAUGACGGCCUGGUGUAAC